Molecule: ribosomal RNA, 274 nt
Filed under: uncultured bacterium
Lineage: Bacteria
Description: partial 16S ribosomal RNA
Rfam family: Archaeal small subunit ribosomal RNA
Source: RNAcentral
ACACCGGCAGCCCGAGUGGUGGCCACUAUUAUUGGGCCUAAAGCGUCCGUAGCCGGUCCGGUAAGUCCCUGUGGAAAUCCUCAGGCUCAACCUGAGGAAAUGCGGGGAUACUGCCGGACUCGGGGCCGGGAGACGCGGAGGGUACUCCAGGGGUAGCGGUGAAAUGCUGUAAUCCCUGGGGGACAACCAGUGGCGAAGGCGCUCCGCGAGAACGGGCCCGACGGUGAGGGACGAAAGCCAGGGGAGCGAACGGGAUUAGAAACCCUAGUAGUCC